GUCAACUACCCCUGACUAAAGUCAGAGGCUUGGCAACAAGCCUUGGUUGACUAGCCUCAGUCCGUUUUCGGACGGACUCCGUUGGUUGGGAAUCCGUUCUGUCGCAAGACGGGACGCAAACAGGCACUGCGGGAUGUCGAUCCUAGUCCUGCGCUCUGC
This 159-nucleotide small RNA is filed under the name Duodenibacillus massiliensis. Its description in RNAcentral is "HNH endonuclease-associated RNA and ORF (HEARO) RNA". It matches the Rfam family "HNH endonuclease-associated RNA and ORF (HEARO) RNA", at positions 1 to 128 of the family's 211-position model. Lineage: Bacteria; Pseudomonadati; Pseudomonadota; Betaproteobacteria; Burkholderiales; Sutterellaceae. The record is from RNAcentral.